This 851-nucleotide ribosomal RNA is filed under the name Clostridioides difficile. RNAcentral describes it as "partial 23S ribosomal RNA". It matches the Rfam family "Bacterial large subunit ribosomal RNA", at positions 1854 to 2703 of the family's 2925-position model. Lineage: Bacteria; Bacillati; Bacillota; Clostridia; Peptostreptococcales; Peptostreptococcaceae. The record is from RNAcentral.
GACGCCUGCCCGGUGCUGGAAGGUUAAGGGGAUCUGUUAGAGCAAUCGAAGCAGUGAACUUAAGCCCCAGUAAACGGCGGCCGUAACUAUAACGGUCCUAAGGUAGCGAAAUUCCUUGUCGGGUAAGUUCCGACCCGCACGAAAGGCGUAACGAUUUGGGCACUGUCUCAACAACAGACUCGGUGAAAUUGUAAUUCCGGUGAAGAUGCCGGAUACCUGCGACAGGACGGAAAGACCCCAUGGAGCUUUACUGUAGCUUGACAUUGGGUCUUGGUACUACAUGUACAGGAUAGGUGGGAGGCUUUGAAACCAGGACGCCAGUUUUGGCGGAGCCAUCCUUGGGAUACCACCCUUGUAGUACUGGGACUCUAACCAUAGGCCAUGAAUCUGGUCUUGGGACACUGUCAGGUGGGCAGUUUGACUGGGGCGGUCGCCUCCCAAAAGGUAACGGAGGCGCUCAAAGGUUCUCUCAGUACGGUCGGAAAUCGUACGUAGAGUGUAAAGGCAAAAGAGAGCUUGAUUGCAAGACAUACAGGUCGAGCAAGGAUGAAAAUCGGACUUAGUGAUCCGGUGGUUCUGCGUGGAAGGGCCAUCGCUCAACGGAUAAAAGCUACCCUGGGGAUAACAGGCUUAUCUCCCCCAAGAGUCCACAUCGACGGGGAGGUUUGGCACCUCGAUGUCGGCUCAUCACAUCCUGGGGCUGUAGUAGGUCCCAAGGGUUGGGCUGUUCGCCCAUUAAAGUGGUACGCGAGCUGGGUUCAGAACGUCGUGAGACAGUUCGGUCCCUAUCCGUCGCAGGCGUAGGAAAUUUGAGAAGACCUGUCCUUAGUACGAGAGGACCGGGAUGGACG